GGGCAGUCUGGUUCCUCCUCUUUGGCAUGAUGCAGCAAUCAUGGUGGCAUGAUAAAGUGAAGAUUUUGAAAAUGGCUAACCAGCCAUGGGGGAAAGUAUGAUCAUUGAACAAAAUAGAAGAAUUUAAAGAAUUCGUAAAGAAAAGACCAGACCUGAACAGAAAAUUUGAUGUCCAACACAGAACUCAAGAGAAUCAUUGAAAGAGAAACCAACUCCUCUACCAGCCAGAGUCUUCUCAUCCUCAGGAUUCCAAACUCCUGUCCUCCCUCAUUGAGAUGAUCAGUUCCACACACUCUUCAGCCUGGCACUUUUCUUAUGUGCCAGCCUCUGUCACAAGAUUGAUGUGAGGUGUUUUCUCAUACUUGUGAAUCUAGGCAACUCAGAUAUCUUGUAUGAAAGGCAGUCCCAUUCUUUUCAGCUAGUUACUGUUUCUAUGUUCUUUUGACUGAGGGUUUGUGGGACAUUUGAGUCCACAUUAUGUCUGCUUUUAUCUUCUGCUAAUUCACCUUCCUAUUUUGCCUAACCUUUGUCUGCCCUUUUACAGAAAAGCAAAAAGAGAAAAUGCAUUUAUGAAGCAUGUAUCAUGUGUCGGGUUCUUUGCUUUGAACUUUAUGAAUAUAUCAUUUGAUCUCAUUAUCCAAAUUGCAUUUUUAAACCCUUUCAAGUCACUCUUUUAGACAAUGUGAUAAGAACCGAUCCUAUUGUUUAAUAAGCAUUUACUAAAUUGAAAUAUUCUACACAGAAAUUUCAUUUUAGUUUAAAAAUAAAUCCUAUGAACUUAAACCAUUACAUCUGUGGCUUUAAGAUCAGUUUUAUUUAUUGUUGUAUAAUUCAUUUAGCUUGGGCCAUUAAUUAAAAUAAAGUAACUGAUAGAGCUUCACUGACUUGUCUAAGUCUUCUAGUGCCACGGGACUUGACACACAUGCUAUUUAAGUCACUUGAACAUGUCAUUUAAUCUUUUGGCCUCAAUUUCUUCAUCUAGGAAGAUAAUAGUGUUGAGGUAGCUGGCCUCAAAGGUACUUUGAAAUUCGAAAUCUAUGAGUGUGUACACAUUCAUCAUAUUCAACUUUCUUUCCACUCGACCACCAUGUCUUCUCUGCUCUAAGAUCAGUCCAAUUAUCUUUGACUGUACAGACUUAAUUCACUAAUGUAGUAAAUCACUCAAUUGAUCUGUCUUGGGUUCUGCAACUAUAAAACCAGAUUUACAAUUUCUAUCCAUUUCUAUGUAAUUAAUAAGCAUGAGAAGGAAAGAUUUGGUUUCCCAGUGGGGAAAUCACUCACAUUAAAGAAAGUCAAAUGAUUACAGAGAACCACUACCAUUAAGUCUUUCAGAAUCAUUGAAUGAAUGGCAGUGACUUAAGCACUGGUGAACAGAGAAUUGGAUACAUUUGAAAAGUUCUUGGGAAGGAAAAAGGAUAUUUACACACAUUUGCAUAAAUUAUACUUGAAUUAUACUCUAUUUAAAAAUAAAACAAGUUAAUGCAUUCCGAACUAAUUGUAGAUUUGCCUCCAUAAGCUGAACACUACAUUCAACCUUCAAUAAAAGAAUUAUGUUCACUUAAUAAA
Long non-coding RNA from Monodelphis domestica (gray short-tailed opossum), 1566 nucleotides. RefSeq lists it as uncharacterized. The record is from RefSeq and is a predicted model, not a curated record. NCBI's taxonomy places the organism in Eukaryota, Metazoa, Chordata, Mammalia, Didelphimorphia, Didelphidae.